AAUAGAUACCCGGUAGUCCACGCCGUAAACGAUGAGUGCUAAGUGUUGGGGGGUUUCCGCCCCUCAGUGCUGCAGCUAACGCAUUAAGCACUCCGCCGUGGGGAGUACGGUCGCAAGACUGAAACUCAAAGGAAUUGACGGGGGCCCGCACAAGCGGUGGAGCAUGUGGUUUAAUUCGAAGCAACGCGAAGAACCUUACCAGGUCUUGACAUCCCGGUGACCACUAUGGAGACAUAGUUUCCCCUUCGGGGGCAACGGUGACAGGUGGUGCAUGGUUGUCGUCAGCUCGUGUCGUGAGAUGUUGGGUUAAGUCCCGCAACGAGCGCAACCCUUAUUCUUAGUUGCCAUCAUUCAGUUGGGCACUCUAAGGAGACUGCCGGUGAUAAACCGGAGGAAGGUGGGGAUGACGUCAAAUCAUCAUGCCCCUUAUGACCUGGGCUACACACGUGCUACAAUGGACGGUACAAACGGGUUGCCAACCCGGCGAGGGGGGAGCCGUAAUCCGGAUAAAACCGGUUCUCAGUUCGGAUUGUAGGCUGCAACUCGCCUACA
Molecule: ribosomal RNA, 552 nt
Filed under: uncultured bacterium
Lineage: Bacteria
Description: bacterial SSU rRNA
Rfam family: Bacterial small subunit ribosomal RNA
Source: RNAcentral